AUGUACACCGAAGAGGAGGCAAAAGAAGCACGAGAAGACGACGUCGAUCUGCUGGAAGAGGGCUGGCUGUUGGCACUCAACCGGUCCACCAUCUACCAGCAGAGCCUGCGCCAAUACUACAAUCGGAAGGUCAAGCCAAGAUCCUUCCAAGAGGGAGACCUUGUGCUCCGGCUGAUCCAGCGAACAGCCGGCCAGCACAAGCUCUCGACACCUUGGGAAGGCCCCUUCAUCGUCAGCAAGGUGUUGGGCAAUGACUCCUACUACCUAAUCGAUGCUCAGAAGCCUCGAGCACGCAAAAGAGACGACUCCGGCAAGGAGACGGAGCGACCAUGGAAUGCAAACCUCCUCCGAAGGUUUUAUAGUUGA
Molecule: ribosomal RNA, 366 nt
Filed under: Triticum aestivum (bread wheat)
Lineage: Eukaryota; Viridiplantae; Streptophyta; Magnoliopsida; Poales; Poaceae
Description: partial small subunit ribosomal RNA
Source: RNAcentral